RNAcentral lists this ribosomal RNA (351 nucleotides) under uncultured bacterium. RNAcentral describes it as "bacterial SSU rRNA". It matches the Rfam family "Bacterial small subunit ribosomal RNA", at positions 917 to 1271 of the family's 1533-position model. The record is from RNAcentral.
GGGCCCGCACAAGCGGUGGAGCAUGUGGUUUAAUUCGAUGAUACGCGAGGAACCUUACCAGGACUUAAAUGUAAGUUGCAUGAUUCAGAAAUGGAUCUUUCUUCGGACUACUUACAAGGUGCUGCAUGGUUGUCGUCAGCUCGUGCCGUGAGGUGUCAGGUUAAGUCCUAUAACGAGCGCAACCCCUAUCGUUAGUUGCCAUCAAGUAAUGUUGGGUACUCUAGCGAGACUGCCGGUGCAAACCGUGAGGAAGGUGGGGAUGACGUCAAAUCAUCACGGCCCUUACGUCCUGGCUACACACGUGCUACAAUGGCCGGUACAGAGGGACGCUACCAGGUGACUGGAUGCAAA